Streptomyces griseus subsp. griseus NBRC 13350 is the source of this 75-nucleotide non-coding RNA. The record is from Rfam. NCBI's taxonomy places the organism in Bacteria, Bacillati, Actinomycetota, Actinomycetes, Kitasatosporales, Streptomycetaceae.
CUUCACCGAGCCCAACCACAACGGACGCCCCUCCGCCCGGUCCUGGCCAUAGGUCGCCAACAGGGCAUGUGCCUC